This is a long non-coding RNA of Acanthochromis polyacanthus (spiny chromis), 8615 nucleotides long. RefSeq lists it as uncharacterized. NCBI's taxonomy places the organism in Eukaryota, Metazoa, Chordata, Actinopteri, Pomacentridae. The transcript is spliced from 3 exons. The record is from RefSeq and is a predicted model, not a curated record.
AGUGGUUGUCCUUGUUCACUUUCAAAUUUCAUUAAAACACAAAGCGACCUGCAGUUAAAAGCCAGCGUGUGCAGGCCGACACGGAUAAAGACACAAUCUGAAUCAAUUUUACCAAACGGCCGUCGCUCUCCAUGUGUCCCGCUGACAGCUUUAACCUUUCAGAGGCUCCUCGCCGCCUCGUUCAGCGUCCAAUCUGUCAAAAAUUGGACCUUAAAUUGCGUGAGCCCGCAGCUGUGAGUGGAGGCCUCCGGCAGACAAUGAGCCUCACAAUGGGCCCGGCUGUGCCAUUAGCCGGGAGGUUGUCAUGCCAACGGUACAAAAAGCCCCGUGCGCGGCGGAAGGUUUGGCCCCGAGGAGAAUCCAUGGAGAUCUCUGCUGGGAGGCCCUUCAGUCCUCCUGACUCUGUUACAUCAUUAUUCACCCUCCAGUCGAGGCUCCGGCAGGCCGGAGCUUCCAGGACGUUUAAGCUGCUGAGGCGGCGCGGCAGAGGCUGGAUGUCAGGCUUUUUUUUUUUGGUGGCAGGGGUUGUUUUAGCUCCACCAGAAAUGCACUAUUGUACGAGUAAACAGACAGCGCCUUUGUGUGGAGGAGUGUGACGACCGUUUGAACCCUGAGCCGAACCAGCAGGGCCGUCGCUCAGGCUGGCAGCAAAUAAAACAUUUACAGAAGAGCAUGACGGCAGCGUCUGGAGACAUCUGUGACCGAAAAACCAUUACAAUUUGACCUAGCUAAAGCAAAAGCACUCAUUUUUAGCUGAUAUUGCUAAAAUGUGCUUAAAAUUUCCAAAGUAAGUCCUGAAGAGGCUACAGAGCUCCAGGUUUUUAACUACACAAUGAAAAUAAAAGAACACAGCAGCUCCAUUAAAUAGUUAUUUAAAGGUUAAAUGCUGCCUCCACAUGGACACAGUAGUAGCCAAUUAAACUGCUGUAACUGAUUGAAUUUUCAGAUAUUUUGUAUCAAGUUCUAUAGUUUAUUCCAUCGUUGUAUAAACUCGCCUGUAUCUGGAAGGUCCAGUCACUCCUGCAUCAGCACUUCUGCCUAAAACUACAUCAUGAAGAGAAAAUAUAAACAUUCUAUGCAACUCUGAAAUACUUAUUUAAAAGCAUAAGUCUGCAAAUAUGUCAAGAAAGGCUGGAAAAUAUUUGUUUCUUUAAAGGUUACUUAGACCAGUGGUUCUCUGCAGAGGCUUGAUGACGAGCUGAUCAUUUGAGUCAGGUGUGUUGGAAGAAGGAAGCAUCUAAAACAUGCAGGACAGUGGGUCAUGAGGAACAGGGUUGAGAACCACUGUCUUAGACGGUUGUACAUGAUGUGAAGCACGGUGGCGGCAGCAUCAUGAGGUAACACACGUUCAAACCACAAAUCGAUUCUAAAGAGGUACAGUGAAAAAGAAAGCUCUUCCCUGUAAGCUGUCUGGAUUGGCUCUUUGGGUUUGUGACGUAAGAAACCCUCCAAGUUUGAAUCUGAACGUUUCUGUCGUUGACGUGCUGCAGUUUUUUAAGGUGGAAAUGUUUCGCCAUGGUGUUCACUGCUUAUUUUGCUCGUCUUCUAGCAAAUAUAAAACACCAUUUGGACAUGUUUACAAAGAAAAAAACGAUUUUCACUGGAGGGGGGUGUUUUUAAAAGGGUGUUACAAGGAGGAGUCUGUCAGAUUUUAAUGUUUUGUACAAUUGUUUUCAUAUGGAGUAGUGUUCUCUCACGUUAAGAAGGAAAAAGCUGCUCAUUUACACAUGAAACAGAAAAGAAGCAACAACUACAACAGUUAUUUAUAAGGGGUUGCAAUCUAAAAAUGUUAAUAUAGCCGUCAGAUAAACUACAAUAUAUUCCACUUUCAUGUUGUAAAAACAAGAGCUGACAUUGUAUAAAAUGGAAAUGUAUCAAAAUGUCUCAUUUCUACUGAUGUGCAAACAAACGAGGCAGGUUCCACAUCUGUAGCAUUUUGCUCAGUCUGACAGCUUGCAGGCAUCACACCAGCCUCCGUCAUGUUAUCAUCUCAAGGCUUCCUCCUCAACACACUCUGAAAUGAAAACUGUCCGACGGGCUUCGAGUUCAGUUGGACCAUCUGUCUGUCUUUAGAGGAGCAAAAACAAAAAGCUGCCAUUCAUUUGGUGCCUCCUUGAUUCUUCUUUUGUUUGUCCAAUUUGCUUUGGAUGUGCCCAGUCUGAUUCUUCUUCUUCAUGCCGCUGGCACAAAAACACAAAAACACACACAUUCAUUUCACAUCUUUGUUUGUCACAGCAGGCUUCUGUCGCCACUCAGGCUCCAACGUAUGGCGAGGAAACUUUAAAGUCGCACAAAAUCUCUGGCAGCUCAGAUGUGUCUCAGUGAGUCGAUGUGACGCCACAAAAGCAACAAAACAAAGGCGGAGGAUCUGUGGGUUUAAUCUUCAGGACAAGGUUGAAGAGGACUUACCCAAAAGUGAGACAUAAACACGAAAAUUCCAAAAUGUGCGUGAAAUGCCCAGAAUUUUCCACAUUUAUUCUGUGUUUUGCAAGUUCCAUUUUAACUUUUUGCAUGUUUUUACCUAAAUCUAAUGUGGAAAACAGAAUUAGAACUUAUAAAGUGAAUUAUGUUUUAAGUUGUCACCUGGUGCCUGCAGAAAAGACACAACUUGAUGCACAAAAAUUCACCAGAACGCAAUAAAUUGUUUAACACUCAACCCCAACAUUUAAAUAAAACCUACUCCCAUUAAUUUGCCUUAGCAGAAAUGAGUAGAUUUUUGUUGAAACCAUUUCAGUGUUGGUUCAGAGAUGGAACACAUCUACAUGCAUUUAAGUGUUUAUUUUCAAGCUAUUUUAUGUCUGCUGCUCUUCAUUGGAACAAACUGAAUGUCAACAACAAUGGCAACAAUUAGACUAAACACUCAUAAACACACCAUCCGCACUGUGAAGCAUGGUGGUGGCAGCAUCAUGGUGAAGCACGGUGGUGGCGGCAUCAUGAUGUGAAGCACGAUGGAGGCGGCAUCAUGAUGUGAAGCACGAUGGAGGCGGCAUCAUGAUGUGAAGCACGGUGGUGGCAGCAUCAUGAUGUGAAGCACGAUGGAGGCGGCAUCAUGAUGUGAAGCACGGUGGUGGCGGCAUCAUGACGUGAAGCACGAUGGAGGCGGCAUCAUGACGUGAAGCACGAUGGAGGUGGCAUCAUGAUGUGAAGCACGGUGGAGGCGGCAUCAUGAUGUGAAGCACGAUGGAGGCGGCAUCAUGAUGUGAAGCACGGUGGUGGCAGCAUCAUGAUGAGGCACGGUGGUGGCGGCAUCAUGACGUGAAGCACGGUGGAGGCGGCAUCAUGAUGUGAAGCACGAUGGAGGCGGCAUCAUGAUGUGAAGCACGGUGGUGGCGGCAUCAUGAUGAGGCACGGUGGUGGCGGCAUCAUGACGUGAAGCACGGUGGUGGCGGCAUCAUGACGUGAAGCACGGUGGCGGCAUCAUGACGUGAAGCACGGAGGUGGCAGCAUCAUGACGUGAAGCACGGUGGUGGCGACAUCAUGACGUGAAGCACGGUGGUGGCGGCAUCAUGACGUGAAGCACGGUGGCGGCAUCAUGACGUGAAGCACGGAGGUGGCGGCAUCAUGACGUGAAGCACGGUGGUGGCGGCGUCAUGACGUGAAGCACGGUGGCGGCAUCAUGACGUGAAGCACGGAGGUGGCGGCAUCAUGACGUGAAGCACGGUGGCGGCAUCAUGACGUGAAGCACGGAGGUGGCAGCAUCAUGACGUGAAGCACGGUGGUGGCGACAUCAUGACGUGAAGCACGGAGGUGGCGGCAUCAUGACGUGAAGCACGGUGGCGGCAUCAUGACGUGAAGCACGGAGGUGGCAGCAUCAUGACGUGAAGCACGGUGGUGGCGACAUCAUGACGUGAAGCACGGAGGUGGCGGCAUCAUGACGUGAAGCACGGUGGCGGCAUCAUGACGUGAAGCACGGAGGUGGCAGCAUCAUGACGUGAAGCACGGUGGAGGCAGCAUCAUAAGUGACAUUCUUGCCUUAUGAAAGAACAGUGGUCCUAAGAUUAUCAGAUGUCCACCCUGUGUCUUUCUAAAGGUAAUUUUUCUGGUGAAAACAGUCAAAUCUACCAUGAAUGUUGAAGGAACAAACACAAACCUUUUAGAAGUCGGUAGUGACAGUUCAUUUCCUGUCCUCUAGAGGCAGAUCUGGAGUCAGCAGCAGUUCAUUAAUAAUUCAUUCCUUCAGUGUGUUUGGAGGUUGGUGAUGAAUGUCAAUAUCAUUCUCUCUGCUGGUUCAGCACCAUCCUGCUUCCUCCUCUCAGCCUCUGAAGUCACAGUUUGUGAAAUUUAAUCUGCUUAAAUCAGCCGGCGGCUACAAGAAUCUGAUGUCUGAUAAUAACAAGCAGAACGACUGAUGGUGUGUGAUGAGAUGGAGGAUCUGUUUGGUUUAUCAUCUUAGAUUUUUCUCCCGUCUUUCCCAGCUAUUCAUGACUAAAACUCACAAUUCUGGGGCCAAAAGUCAUCAAUUAUAAUUGCUAAUCCAAUUUUAUGGAUUUUAAAUCAUUGGCAAGAUGAAAAAUAAAAGAAAAACUUUAGAAUAUGUAAUCUGUUUACUUUUUAUCUUCAUUUUUCUCCAGAGGGUCCAAUCCGGCCCUCAAAGUGUAAAAAUUCCAGAGAAGACAUUAACUGCAGAUUCUAAAUUAGUAAAACUAUAAAUUUAAAAUCAUUUCUAGACCAUGACAAGUUGUUUUGGUCAGAAAGUAAAAUAAUAGAUUGUUCUUUUGUUGUUUUCUGUGAUCAUUUUUGUAAUUUUGUUUCAUGUUUUUGUCAUUUUGUGCUUCCUUUUUGUCUCACUUGUGUUUUUGUCUGAUUUUUGUCAUUUUGUGUUUCGCUUUUUCUUUAUGAGCGUUUGUGUUUUGUGUGUUUUGUCUCCAUUUGUUUUGCUUCACGUCAUUUGCCUAAUUUUUUUGUCAUUUUGUUUUUCACUUUUGUUAUUUUGUGUCUUUUUGUCAUAUUUUAUCUUGUUUUUGAUGUUUUUUUCUGACUUGUCGUUUGUUUCUUAGUUUUCUCAUUUUGUGUUUCGCUCUAUUCGUUUUGAGCAUCGCUUUUGUCGUUUUGUGGGGUUUUUGUGUGUUGCUUGUCUGUUUUUGUCAUGUUGUUUCUCCCUUUGUAGUUUUUUUGUCAUUUGUCGGUUAUUUUGGUCGCUUUAUAACUUUGUCUAAUUUUUGUCAUUUUGUCUCAUUUUUGUAAUACUUGUUUUUUUUUGUCUGUUUUUAUUAUCUGACUGUUGUCAUUUUGAUCAUAAAGUAAAUCCUCUCUGGUUCACUUCCAGGUGACUAAAUGUUGUGUUCCUUUGUGGACACUCUGUGAUCUGGGAGCUGUAAUGUGGAAAUGAUGAACUGAGGAUGAAUGUAGAUGAAACUUAAAUUUCAGUUUGUUCAUGAUGUUUUGUAGAAAGAUAAUUCCUUACAUGUGAACCAUUUUGCACUAAAACAGAGGAAACAUUAGGAGUUGUGGUUAUUUAUUGGUUAUUAUGUUGUGGUUUUACUGGCUCAGAUCAAUUGAGCUGAAUGUUUCCACUGAGCUAAUCUAAAAUUUAGCAAAUAUAUUAUUAAAUAUCUUUGGUUUAUGGUCCAACAGAAGGGCCCUGGUGAUUUCAGAUGGAAUAACUCAUGUGUGAUGUUUUUCAUUUUAAAGAGGAUGUUUCACAAAAUGUGAAUCUUCUGUUGUUCUAAGUGUCACAUACACAUUUUUUGUACAAUUAACAGUAAAUUUGGGGUCUGACAGUGUUUUAGUUCAGGGUAAAUAAUCCAAUCAGUCAUAUAAAAUAACACAUUUAGCACUGAUUAAAACUCACCCCGUUUAGUGUCAGCGCUGCAGCGACCCAAAUUAUGUCAAACUGUGACCCAGUAAACACGAGUCAGAACUCUUUUUUUUAAUGUAACUCCAGUGUCUGUGUGCAGAAGUUGACCCAGUUUCAGUUCUAAACAUCAGUGCAGCUCUGGGUUAACUGAUCAAAACCAGGCCAACAUUAGAGUCUGUUCUGAUCAGUUUAUAACCCACUUCAACUAAACUUACAUCAGUAUUUCUCACUCAUCCACGGAUAUUUCUUUGAGACUUUUGAAAGUGCUUCUUGUUCAGUAAAACUAGCAAUACAUCUAUGAGCUUGUUGUGUCUAAAACUGUGCCAAAAAAAUACAUGUUUCAUUUUAUUAAAUAAGCCAGCAGUAAGGCAGAACAACUCGCUGAUAACAGGGUGUUGUUUUAGAUUUUGCAUCUGUUAAAAGCUCACUAGGAAAUGUUGAAAAACUGGAAAAUUCAAGUUCUUUUUCUUUAAAAUUCAGAAGCAGCAACGCUGAAUGUCCAGUUCCUGCUUAGAGGAAUCAAACUCUUUAAGUCCAUCCGAUGGCACUGAUAUUACCGGCGUGUUUAAUUUUCAGAAAUUAAAAUGUGUGUUACCAGGAUUUUUUUUUUUGAUCAGAAGUAUUAAAGAAAAGACUCCAAGAAAAAUAGUCUCUGAAUUAUGUAAAUGCUUGCAAACACAUUGGUUUGGGGACUCGUCAUUUUUUGUGAAUGUUCUUAAACAUUCCUAACAUUUAUUUUUUUCACCAAAAAAAUGUUCAAAGAUUUCCUCAAAAUGUUGAAAAUGUGGUCAUAAAUGUCACUGUGAAAAUAUAUUUUUCCACAUUUUCAGACUUUAGAACGGGUCAGUUGGUUAUAAGCGCAUUUAAAAUCUGCAUUUUCAUUUAAAACCUGCAUGUUUGCCCGCACUUUAAGUGAACAAUGAUCAAUUUUCCCCUGAAGCUGGUUCGUUCUCCUGUCAACACUGAAGUCAGGAAAAAACAACAAAAGUGUAAAAACGUGGAGCUCCUGCGUCGGGUUACAAAACGUCUGCAGACUGCUGCUGGGACCAAAGAGGAAGAUGAAGAAAAGGAGGAUGAGGAGGAGGUUGCCAUGGUAACCACUCCUCCUGCUGCUGGGGGUGAUGAUGUAACACCGGGUCUCUUUUCCCGUCCUUGUCCUCCCCACCUACACCACCACACGGCUGCUUCAUGUGACAGGAGGGUGGAAAACAGACAAAGGAAGAGUCCAGAGAGCGUUCAUAACCCGAGAAGACAACCGAGUCAUCUACUUUAAGAACAACCUGCUGCAAUCAACUCCCCAAAAACACACAUUAUCGCUCCUUUUCAACACAACCGAUGCUCGUAAUUUCAAAAGGCGCCCGCUGCUGUCGAGAUGAAACCUGUUUGGUGCCCUGUAAUCUCUGCUCCCUGCUGCUCGGAUCACAUCAUCAAAGCUCUGAGCAUCAUUAAGGCAGAAACGUCAACAGGAGAGGCUUUUAUUGUGAAGCUGCAGAGGACGAUUCCUGCCACAUGAGGGCGCCAAUCAGCCGCUGAGCUCCAAGGAAGAAACGGAUGGAACGUUUCAUUCUCAGGACAUGGAUUUAAUUCACAGAUUGGAAAUAUACAUCAGUCAGAAACAAGCAGUGCAAAGCAGGUCUUUCUAGUUCAAGAUUUGAAAAUAGAAGCAGAAUUUCUUCCUUCAACAAAAUGAGACGAGAAAAGCUUCAAGAGUUACACUGAACAGAAAACAUAACCGCAGCAGGUCUUCUUUACUGGCCGAGAGAAACCCUUCAAAAUCUGUUUUAUUGUUGUUGUCAGAAGGUGAUCAAAGUUUGCUAAAAGUGCACAAAAAUACGUUCAGUUGGGGACUAAUUCUUAACCACUAAGUUGGCUUUAAGGAACAAGAAUCGGAUGUUUGACCACAGACUUUCCUUUGACCAUCAGCUGCUUCGGCUUCUAACAAAAAACAAGAAGAAUUGUUUUAAAUUGAAUGUGCCUUUCUGUAUUUUUGUGUGCAGGUUUAGAACAAAGGUCCGUAUCUGGUCCAGAUCUGGAAUGAAGAUGAAGAUGGGGCUGUAAACGCUUAGAGGAUCUAAGGAUCAGACUAAUUCCUUGCUCCUCCACCAGCAUGUGGCUGAACUCUCGGUGGUCUUUGAGGGUGACGAAGCAGUAGAGACAUUCUCCCUUCACCUUGUGAGGUCGGCUCACCACGGCGGCCUCGGCCACAGCUGGAUGCUCCGUCAGAGCCGCCUCCACCUCCGCUGUGCUCAUCAGGUGGCCUGGAGGACACGGCGAAAAACACAAACACGCAUCAGAAGAGACGAACAAACGCAAGGCUUCUGGGGAGGAAACGUGUUUAAGUUGAAGUUAUGGACCAAAAACAGCUCAGUUUGAUGUCGUAAGAACCUUUUUAUUUUUAAAGUUUUGAGGGGAAGCAGCAGAACAGUACCUGACACGUUGAGCAUGUCGUCUAUUCUCCCUGUGAUCCAGUAAUAGCCGUCUUUAUCCCGCCUGCAGCCUGACGGAGGACAAAACAAGUUGCAUGUUUCUCCAUCUCAUGAGACUCUUUGGUAUUUUAGUGAGAAAUCAAGCUGUACAUUCAGAGCAGUGUGAUGUUCAAUCUGUGCGUGAAGCUGAUUUUACGUCUCACCAUCGCCGGUCACGUAGAAGCCUGGGAAUUUCUUGAAGUAGGUGUUCUCGAAGCGCUCGUGGUUUUUGUACACGCUGCGCAUUAUUCCAGGCCAGGGCCUCCUGAACACCUGAAGAAGAGAUGUGUUGCUGCUAGUACUGCUGAUAUUAACACUAAUAAUGUUCAUUAAAGCUCUAAAGUACUGAAGAA